RNAcentral lists this ribosomal RNA (608 nucleotides) under uncultured bacterium. Its description in RNAcentral is "bacterial SSU rRNA". It matches the Rfam family "Bacterial small subunit ribosomal RNA", at positions 61 to 638 of the family's 1533-position model. The record is from RNAcentral.
GUCGAACGAACGAGAGAAUAAGCUUGCUUAAUUCUCAAGUUAGUGGCGGACGGGUGAGUAACGCGUGGGUAACCUACCCUAUAGUGGGGAAUAACAACGAGAAAUCGGUGCUAAUACCGCAUAAGCUUGUUUUAUCGCAUGAUAAGACAAAGAAAGAUGGCCUCUAAACUAUGCUAUCGCUAAAGGAUGGACCCGCGUCUGAUUAGCUAGUUGGUAAGGUAACGGCUUACCAAGGCAACGAUCAGUAGCCGGCCUGAGAGGGUGAACGGCCACACUGGGACUGAGACACGGCCCAGACUCCUACGGGAGGCAGCAGUGGGGAAUCUUCCGCAAUGGGCGAAAGCCUGACGGAGCAAUGCCGCGUGAGCGAAGAAGGCCUUCGGGUUGUAAAGCUCUGUCCUAUUUGAAGAGAAGUUGAUGUGUAAAUAAUGCAUUAAUAGGACGGUAAAAUAGGAGGAAGCCCCGGCUAACUACGUGCCAGCAGCCGCGGUAAUACGUAGGGGGCAAGCGUUGUCCGGAAUCACUGGGCGUAAAGGGCGCGUAGGCGGUUUUAUAAGUCAGAUGUGAAAACUUAGGGCUCAACCCUAAGACUGCACCUGAUACUGUAA